CCUACGGGCGGCUGCAGUGAGGAAUAUUGGUCAAUGGACGCAAGUCUGAACCAGCCAUGCCGCGUGCAGGAAGACGGCUCUAUGAGUUGUAAGCUGCUUUUGUACGAGGGUAAACGCGGAUAGGCGGAUCUGUAUGAAAGUAACGUACGAAUAAGGAUCGGCUAACUCCGUGCCAGCAGCAGCGGUAAUACGGAGGAUUCAAGCGUUAUCCGGAGUUAUUGGGUUUAAAGGGGGCGUAGGCGGUCGGAUAAGUUAGUGGUGAAAUCCCGAGGCUCAACUUCGGAAUUGCAUCUGAUACUGUUCGGCUAGAGAGUAGUAGCGGUAGGCGGAAUGUAUGGUGUAGCGGUAAAAUGCUUAGAGAUCAUACAGAACACCGAUUGCGAAGGCAGCUUACCAAGCUACUGCUGACGUUGAGGCACGAAAGCGUGGGGAGCAAACAGGAUUAGAUACCCGGGUAGUC
Molecule: ribosomal RNA, 460 nt
Filed under: uncultured bacterium
Lineage: Bacteria
Description: partial 16S ribosomal RNA
Rfam family: Bacterial small subunit ribosomal RNA
Source: RNAcentral